RNAcentral lists this ribosomal RNA (372 nucleotides) under uncultured organism. RNAcentral describes it as "bacterial SSU rRNA". It matches the Rfam family "Bacterial small subunit ribosomal RNA", at positions 526 to 896 of the family's 1533-position model. The record is from RNAcentral.
CGUAGGUGGCAAGCGUUGUCCGGAAUUAUUGGGCGUAAAGCGCGCGCAGGCGGUUCCUUAAGUCUGAUGUGAAAGCCCCCGGCCCAACCGGGGAAGGUCAUUGGAAACUGGGGAACUUGAGUGCAGAAGAGAAGAGCGGAAUUCCACGUGUAGCGGUGAAAUGCGUAGAGAUGUGGAGGAACACCAGUGGCGAAGGCGGCUCUUUGGUCUGUAACUGACGCUGAGGCGCGAAAGCGUGGGGAGCAAACAGGAUUAGAUACCCUGGUAGUCCACGCCGUAAACGAUGAGUGCUAAGUGUUAGAGGGUUUCCGCCCUUUAGUGCUGCAGCUAACGCAUUAAGCACUCCGCCUGGGGAGUACGGCCGCAAGGCUG